CGCCACUUAUCGUCGAAAGCGCCACGUCCUGUGGCAUCGUCGAUAUGACCAACGUCGUGUUGG
This is a small RNA of 63 nucleotides. It matches the Rfam family "Bacillaceae-1 RNA". The record is from Rfam.